UGGGGAAUUUUGGACAAUGGGCGCAAGCCUGAUCCAGCCAUGCCGCGUGCGGGAAGAAGGCCUUCGGGUUGUAAACCGCUUUUGUCAGGGAAGAAAUCUUCUGAGUUAAUACCUCGGGAGGAUGACGGUACCUGAAGAAUAAGCACCGGCUAACUACGUGCCAGCAGCCGCGGUAAUACGUAGGGUGCAAGCGUUAAUCGGAAUUACUGGGCGUAAAGCGUGCGCAGGCGGUUUUGUAAGACAGAGGUGAAAUCCCCGGGCUCAACCUGGGAACUGCCUUUGUGACUGCAAGGCUUGAGUGCGGCAUAGGGAGGUGGAAUUCCGCGUGUAGCAGUGAAAUGCGUAGAUAUGCGGAGGAACACCGAUGGCGAAGGCAAUCCCCUGGGCCUGCACUGACGCUCAUGCACGAAAGCGUGGGGAGCAAACAGGAUUAGAUACCCUGGUAGUCCACGCCCUAAACGAUGUCAACUGGUUGUUGGGAAGGUUCCUUCUCAGUAACGUAGCUAACGCGUGAAGUUGACCGCCUGGGGAGUACGGCCGC
RNAcentral lists this ribosomal RNA (541 nucleotides) under uncultured bacterium. RNAcentral describes it as "partial 16S ribosomal RNA". It matches the Rfam family "Bacterial small subunit ribosomal RNA", at positions 355 to 889 of the family's 1533-position model. The record is from RNAcentral.